Molecule: ribosomal RNA, 165 nt
Filed under: uncultured bacterium
Lineage: Bacteria
Description: partial 16S rRNA
Rfam family: Bacterial small subunit ribosomal RNA
Source: RNAcentral
UAGGGAAUCUUCGGCAAUGGACGAAGGUCUGACCGAGCAACGCCGCGUGAGUGAAGAAGGUUUUCGGAUCGUAAAACUCUGUUGGUAGAGAAGAACGUUGGUGAGAGUGGAAAGCUCAUCAAGUGACGGUAACUACCCAGAAAGGGACGGCUAACUACGUACCAG